Molecule: ribosomal RNA, 595 nt
Filed under: Distoseptispora aquatica
Lineage: Eukaryota; Fungi; Ascomycota; Sordariomycetes; Distoseptisporaceae
Description: partial large subunit ribosomal RNA
Rfam family: Eukaryotic large subunit ribosomal RNA (bases 154-595)
Source: RNAcentral
AGCCAACUCCUCGUGGCUCUUCCCUAUCCCGGUCGAGCAGUGGAGGCAGUUCACAGACUAGACGGCAGUGGGUCUGGCGGCGCAAGGCCAGCCGGGCUUAAGAUAUAGUCGAUGGCACCUAAGUAAUUAGGGUCGCGGUCAGCUAGUAGCUGGUUACCGCCGAAGUUUCCCUCAGGAUAGCAGUGUUGUCUUCAGUUUUAUGAGGUAAAGCGAAUGAUUAGGGACUCGGGGGCGCUAUUUAGCCUUCAUCCAUUCUCAAACUUUAAAUAUGUAAGAAGCCCUUGUUGCUUAGUUGAACGUGGGCAUUCGAAUGUACCAACACUAGUGGGCCAUUUUUGGUAAGCAGAACUGGCGAUGCGGGAUGAACCGAACGCGGAGUUAAGGUGCCAGAGUGGACGCUCAUCAGACACCACAAAAGGCGUUGAUACAUCUUGACAGCAGGACGGUGGCCAUGGAAGUCGGAAUCCGCUAAGGACUGUGUAACAACUCACCUGCCGAAUGUAUCAGCCCUGAAAAUGGAUGGCGCUCAAGCGUCCCACCCAUACUCCGCCCUCAGGGUAGAAACGACGCCCUGAGGAGUAGGCGGCCGUGGGGA